UACGGAGGGUGCAAGCGUUAUCCGGAUUCACUGGGUUUAAAGGGUGCGUAGGCGGGCAGGUAAGUCCGUGGUGAAAUCUCUGAGCUUAACUCAGAAACUGCCAUGGAUACUAUUUGUCUUGAAUAUUGUGGAGGUGAGCGGAAUAUGUCAUGUAGCGGUGAAAUGCUUAGAUAUGACAUAGAACACCAAUUGCGAAGGCAGCUUACUACACAGUUAUUGACGCUGAGGCACGAAAGCGUGGGGAUCAAACAGG
RNAcentral lists this ribosomal RNA (253 nucleotides) under uncultured bacterium. RNAcentral describes it as "partial 16S ribosomal RNA". It matches the Rfam family "Bacterial small subunit ribosomal RNA", at positions 524 to 776 of the family's 1533-position model. The record is from RNAcentral.